RNAcentral lists this unclassified non-coding RNA (203 nucleotides) under uncultured fungus. RNAcentral describes it as "sequence contains ITS1". Lineage: Eukaryota; Fungi. The record is from RNAcentral.
UUGAUUCAUUUUUUGAUUGGUACAAUCCACUCAGACGGCUUGCUGUAAAACAGAAAAUACAGAAGAGUUUGGGUCCUCCGGCGGGCCGCCCGAACCGGGGCAUCAACACCCGCCGAAGCAACGAUACGGUAUAGGUUCACAUGGGGGUUUGGGAGUUGGAAAAAAACUCGAUAAUGAUCCCUCCGCUGGUUCACCAACGGAGA